Molecule: ribosomal RNA, 456 nt
Filed under: uncultured bacterium
Lineage: Bacteria
Description: bacterial SSU rRNA
Rfam family: Bacterial small subunit ribosomal RNA
Source: RNAcentral
GGCUCAGAUUGAACGCUGGCGGCAGGCCUAACACAUGCAAGUCGAGCGGAUGAGAAGAGCUUGCUCUUCGAUUCAGCGGCGGACGGGUGAGUAAUGCCUAGGAAUCUGCCUGGUAGUGGGGGACAACGUUUCGAAAGGAACGCUAAUACCGCAUACGUCCUACGGGAGAAAGCAGGGGACCUUCGGGCCUUGCGCUAUCAGAUGAGCCUAGGUCGGAUUAGCUAGUUGGUGAGGUAAUGGCUCACCAAGGCUACGAUCCGUAACUGGUCUGAGAGGAUGAUCAGUCACACUGGAACUGAGACACGGUCCAGACUCCUACGGGAGGCAGCAGUGGGGAAUAUUGGACAAUGGGCGAAAGCCUGAUCCAGCCAUGCCGCGUGUGUGAAGAAGGUCUUCGGAUUGUAAAGCACUUUAAGUUGGGAGGAAGGGCAGUAAGUUAAUACCUUGCUGUUUGAC